UAGCAAGGUUAACCGAAUAGGGGAGCCGAAGGGAAACCGAGUCUUAACUGGGCGUUAAGUUGCAGGGUAUAGACCCGAAACCCGGUGAUCUAGCCAUGGGCAGGUUGAAGGUUGGGUAACACUAACUGGAGGACCGAACCGACUAAUGUUGAAAAAUUAGCGGAUGACUUGUGGCUGGGGGUGAAAGGCCAAUCAAACCGGGAGAUAGCUGGUUCUCCCCGAAAGCUAUUUAGGUAGCGCCUCGUGAAUUCAUCUCCGGGGGUAGAGCACUGUUUCGGCAAGGGGGUCAUCCCGACUUACCAACCCGAUGCAAACUGCGAAUACCGGAGAAUGUUAUCACGGGAGACACACGGCGGGUGCUAACGUCCGUCGUGAAGAGGGAAACAACCCAGACCGCCAGCUAAGGUCCCAAAGUCAUGGUUAAGUGGGAAACGAUGUGGGAAGGCCCAGACAGCCAGGAUGUUGGCUUAGAAGCAGCCAUCAUUUAAAGAAAGCGUAAUAGCUCACUGGUCGAGUCGGCCUGCGCGGAAGAUGUAACGGGGCUAAACCAUGCACCGAAGCUGCGGCAGCGACACUGUGUGUUGUUGGGUAGGGGAGCGUUCUGUAAGCCUGUGAAGGUGUGCUGUGAGGCAUGCUGGAGGUAUCAGAAGUGCGAAUGCUGACAUAAGUAACGAUAAAGCGGGUGAAAAGCCCGCUCGCCGGAAGACCAAGGGUUCCUGUCCAACGUUAAUCGGGGCAGGGUGAGUCGACCCCUAAGGCGAGGCCGAAAGGCGUAGUCGAUGGGAAACAGGUUAAUAUUCCUGUACUUGGUGUUACUGCGAAGGGGGGACGGAGAAGGCUAUGUUGGCCGGGCGACGGUUGUCCCGGUUUAAGCGUGUAGGCUGGUUUUCCAGGCAAAUCCGGAAAAUCAAGGCUGAGGCGUGAUGACGAGGCACUACGGUGCUGAAGCAACAAAUGCCCUGCUUCCAGGAAAAGCCUCUAAGCAUCAGGUAACAUCAAAUCGUACCCCAAACCGACACAGGUGGUCAGGUAGAGAAUACCAAGGCGCUUGAGAGAACUCGGGUGAAGGAACUAGGCAAAAUGGUGCCGUAACUUCGGGAGAAGGCACGCUGAUAUGUAGGUGAAGUCCCUCGCGGAUGGAGCUGAAAUCAGUCGAAGAUACCAGCUGGCUGCAACUGUUUAUUAAAAACACAGCACUGUGCAAACACGAAAGUGGACGUAUACGGUGUGACGCCUGCCCGGUGCCGGAAGGUUAAUUGAUGGGGUCAGCGCAAGCGAAGCUCUUGAUCGAAGCCCCGGUAAACGGCGGCCGUAACUAUAACGGUCCUAAGGUAGCGAAAUUCCUUGUCGGGUAAGUUCCGACCUGCACGAAUGGCGUAAUGAUGGCCAGGCUGUCUCCACCCGAGACUCAGUGAAAUUGAACUCGCUGUGAAGAUGCAGUGUACCCGCGGCAAGACGGAAAGACCCCGUGAACCUUUACUAUAGCUUGACACUGAACAUUGAGCCUUGAUGUGUAGGAUAGGUGGGAGGCUUUGAAGUGUGGACGCCAGUCUGCAUGGAGCCGACCUUGAAAUACCACCCUUUAAUGUUUGAUGUUCUAACGUGGACCCGUGAUCCGGGUUGCGGACAGUGUCUGGUGGGUAGUUUGACUGGGGCGGUCUCCUCCUAAAGAGUAACGGAGGAGCACGAAGGUUGGCUAAUCCUGGUCGGACAUCAGGAGGUUAGUGCAAUGGCAUAAGCCAGCUUGACUGCGAGCGUGACGGCGCGAGCAGGUGCGAAAGCAGGUCAUAGUGAUCCGGUGGUUCUGAAUGGAAGGGCCAUCGCUCAACGGAUAAAAGGUACUCCGGGGAUAACAGGCUGAUACCGCCCAAGAGUUCAUAUCGACGGCGGUGUUUGGCACCUCGAUGUCGGCUCAUCACAUCCUGGGGCUGAAGUAGGUCCCAAGGGUAUGGCUGUUCGCCAUUUAAAGUGGUACGCGAGCUGGGUUUAGAACGUCGUGAGACAGUUCGGUCCCUAUCUGCCGUGGGCGCUGGAGAACUGAGGGGGGCUGCUCCUAGUACGAGAGGACCGGAGUGGACGCAUCACUGGUGUUCGGGUUGUCAUGCCAAUGGCACUGCCCGGUAGCUAAAUGCGGAAGAGAUAAGUGCUGAAAGCAUCUAAGCACGAAACUUGCCCCGAGAUGAGUUCUCCCUGACCCUUUAAGGGUCCUGAAGGAACGUUGAAGACGACGACGUUGAUAGGCCGGGUGUGUAAGCGCAGCGAUGCGUUGAGCUAACCGGUACUAAUGAACCGUGAGGCUUAACCUUACAACGCCGAAGGUGUUU
RNAcentral lists this ribosomal RNA (2324 nucleotides) under Escherichia coli. RNAcentral's name for it is "partial 23S ribosomal RNA". It matches the Rfam family "Bacterial large subunit ribosomal RNA", at positions 638 to 2925 of the family's 2925-position model. Lineage: Bacteria; Pseudomonadati; Pseudomonadota; Gammaproteobacteria; Enterobacterales; Enterobacteriaceae. The record is from RNAcentral.